GACCGCAUAGCUCAGUUGGAAGAGCAUUGGGCUAGUAUUCCAAAGGUCGUAGGUUCGAGUCGUGCCGUGGCCG
This 73-nucleotide transfer RNA is filed under the name Paramuricea clavata. It matches the Rfam family "tRNA". Rfam says of the family: Transfer RNA (tRNA) molecules are approximately 80 nucleotides in length. Their secondary structure includes four short double-helical elements and three loops (D, anti-codon, and T loops). Lineage: Eukaryota; Metazoa; Cnidaria; Anthozoa; Malacalcyonacea; Plexauridae. The record is from Rfam by way of RNAcentral.